This 548-nucleotide ribosomal RNA is filed under the name uncultured bacterium. RNAcentral describes it as "bacterial SSU rRNA". It matches the Rfam family "Bacterial small subunit ribosomal RNA", at positions 355 to 895 of the family's 1533-position model. The record is from RNAcentral.
UAGGGAAUCUUCCACAAUGGGCGCAAGCCUGAUGGAGCAACACCGCGUGAGUGAAGAAGGGUUUCGGCUCGUAAAGCUCUGUUGUUAAAGAAGAACACGUAUGAGAGUAACUGUUCAUACGUUGACGGUAUUUAACCAGAAAGUCACGGCUAACUACGUGCCAGCAGCCGUGGUAAUACGUAGGUGGCAAGCGUUAUCCGGAUUUAUUGGGCGUAAAGAGAGUGCAGGCGGUUUUCUAAGUCUGAUGUGAAAGCCUUCGGCUUAACCGGAGAAGUGCAUCGGAAACUGGAUAACUUGAGUGCAGAAGAGGGUAGUGGAACUCCAUGUGUAGCGGUGGAAUGCGUAGAUAUAUGGAAGAACACCAGUGGCGAAGGCGGCUACCUGGUCUGCAGCUGACGCUGAGACUCGAAAGCAUGGGUAGCGAACAGGAUUAGAUACCCUGGUAGUCCAUGCCGUAACGAUGAGUGCUAGGUGUUGGAGGGUUUCCGCCCUUCAGUGCCGGAGCUAACGCAUUAAGCACUCCGCCUGGGGAGUACGACCGCAAGGUU